UACGUAGGGUGCGAGCGUUAAUUGGAAUUACUGGGCGUAAAGCGUGCGUAGGCGGUUUCAUAAGCUUGAUGUGAAAGCCCCGGGCUCAACCUGGGAAUGGCAUUGAGGACUGUGGAGCUAGAGUGCGGCAGAGGGAGGUGGAAUUCCACGUGUAGCAGUGAAAUGCGUAGAGAUGUGGAGGAACACCGAUGGCGAAGGCAGCCUCCUGGGCCGACACUGACGCUGAGGAGCGAAAGCGUGGGGAGCGAACAGG
RNAcentral lists this ribosomal RNA (253 nucleotides) under uncultured bacterium. RNAcentral's name for it is "partial 16S ribosomal RNA". It matches the Rfam family "Bacterial small subunit ribosomal RNA", at positions 524 to 776 of the family's 1533-position model. The record is from RNAcentral.